This 152-nucleotide ribosomal RNA is filed under the name Pseudomonas sp. Iw-2-2. Its description in RNAcentral is "partial 16S rRNA". It matches the Rfam family "Bacterial small subunit ribosomal RNA", at positions 359 to 505 of the family's 1533-position model. Lineage: Bacteria; Pseudomonadati; Pseudomonadota; Gammaproteobacteria; Pseudomonadales; Pseudomonadaceae. The record is from RNAcentral.
GGCACUGGGACAUGGGCGAAACCCUGUUCCAGCCAUGCCGCGUGUGUGAAGAAGGUCUUCGGAUUGUAAAGCACUUUAAGUUGGGAGGAAGGGCUGUAAGUUAAUACCUUGCUGUUUUGACGUUACCGACAUAAUAAGCCCGGCUAACUCUG